AAGAAGAGAGGAAUCAACAGCUAGAAAAUGUUACCAGGUUGGCCCGCUGCGGACGCAGAUAUAAUGUGCAGCGGCAGCCAUGUUGGCAGGGGCAACUGUCCCAUCAAAUGUAAUACAGCACAUGGAUAUUAGCUUAACAUCGCCAAGCACAAGUACAUAGUGGAACGGGCAUGCAUUAUCCCCACCAUCCCCAAGCAACAGCGAGGCAAUUUGGAUCCCCUUGAAAACUUUUCAAACACUUAAAAAAAUAUAUUCCUGACAAUAAUUUUACAUUGAAAAAUUUCACCUUGAG
Molecule: long non-coding RNA, 292 nt
Organism: Hippocampus zosterae (dwarf seahorse)
Lineage: Eukaryota; Metazoa; Chordata; Actinopteri; Syngnathiformes; Syngnathidae
Exons: 2
Source: RefSeq, a predicted model, not a curated record